CCUUACAUCACUGAGCAUCUCUGAGGAUACGGCUGUUACAUUUCCAACUGGUUUGCAAAGGGCCAUUUUCUGUUGUUUCAAGCAGUACCUAUACAAGUGUGUGUCUCUCCUCAAUGAGUAUACACUGAAAUAACAACACGUUUGCAAGGGAACCUAUAGUGUUGACUACAUUGCCCAGGGAAACAGCUGAUUUACCAUCUUAAGGGAUCAGAGCUAAGACAUGGAGAGGACAGAGAAUAAAGAAUCCACCAUCUCUCCACAAAAACAGACAGUCAAAAAUAGAUCCAAGUCCACAGAUGAGGUACAGCAAGCCAAAAAGGCCUUUCAAACACCACAGAAAUCUCUCCCGGCUAAACCAGAGGCUGAAAAACUACAGGAGACCUCAGAACUGAGUGCCUCGUCGGAGGAGUUCAAAUGAUUGCUGGAUUCUAACUUUUGGGGUUUUGAGAUUUAGAUCAACUGGAAUUAUGAGUAACAAGGGAUUGUUCAGUGCGUCUGUGCAUACCAUUUUGACUUAGUUUUACUCAGUUUAGUUGGCACAGUCUCAAGUGAUUUGAAGGAAAACCAACAAUAAUCAUGUGUAGCUCAUUUGAUUUGUAGGAGUCUGAUAAUGUUUGUGAAAUAAGUGCAGAACUGGAUAUCACAGUGAAUUGAAUCUAUAGAUGUUGUGAGCCAAUGUCUAAUUUAGAGUGACAUGUUUCUUUGUGUUAGAUGUUUGUGAAUGGUAUUGAGCCAAAACCCUUCUCCAGGCACCUUUGUGUCCCUAGUGCAACACACUCUCAUGGAGAAAUCAUACAGAUUUGUACAAGUUGGCUAAAUCAUAUGAAAUGGUAAGAGUUGGGUCAUAUGAAGAAUUCAUAUGACUUUGCAACAGCCAAUCAAGUAACAUACUCUUUAUACUUCAAAUCAUCCUUAAAGGCUCUACUCUAUAGUUAGGUUUAGAUAUGGAGUUUGGGCAUAAAAUUAAUUAGCAUGUACACAAUGUCUAACGUGGAACUUUCGCUUACUCCCACAUUACACAUCCAGGUAUUUGCACAUCUAGAAUAUGUAUGAAUUCACACAAAACUAACUUGUACAAUUUCAUACGAUUUAGAUAACUUGUAGCCAACUCAUAUGACUUGAAGGCCAUUUUCUUUUUUCCUCUGUAAUAAUUUUUCCACUGUUUUUGAAAUUAGUUAAGGAGUUAGGUAAGUUUCUUUGUAUUUUGGUUUAAUUUUAUUUUCUUGAUUAGGGAAUUCAUAUUCUUCUUGGGAAUUACAUGGUCUAUUGUUUGUUAUUUUGGCCAUACUCAACUCUGAAAUGGUUUACUAUCUCUGAAGUUAAGACCAACGGCUUUGAGUGUCACGUUUAUGUUGCCCCUAGACGGGACAUAACAUAAUUAAUA
Myxocyprinus asiaticus (Chinese sucker) is the source of this 1384-nucleotide long non-coding RNA. RefSeq lists it as uncharacterized. Lineage: Eukaryota; Metazoa; Chordata; Actinopteri; Cypriniformes; Catostomidae. The transcript has 5 exons. The record is from RefSeq and is a predicted model, not a curated record.